AUAUUUAGGGGCUGUUUGACUUCCUGGUUAACGGCAAUUUGCAAAGCAAACCAGCAAAAAUUUUGUGUUUGAUAAACAACACUACGGGAACUGGAGGCCCUCAAUUAGCGUGUGGCUCGAGCCUAAGUUACUGUUACAUUAGCGAAAUGGGUGAGGGGGUCGGCUCCGGUUAUAGUAGCUUACUGCUACUGUGACUCCUUUCAAAAUUCACUCAUCGCGAUCUUGCCCCUAGUCUUCGAAUUAAAAAAUCAAAUAACACAAAUUGGCAGCUCACUUUUUCGAUUUCAAAAGAAUUGGCGACGAUGUACUCACGGCGCAUCUUAAGCACGGGCUCAAUUGAGCUGGGGGAUUCGCAUAGGCACUAGCUAGGGCUUCACCGCAGCUAAUUGCGGUGAGAGGGUGGAAGUCGCAGGACUUACGAGGUCGAUUUACCCGUCAGGAAGGUGUGUGCCCUCAGACAUUGAAUGAGUUGUUUGUUUGGUUUAAUGCAGAGUACUACGAUGCAAACUCAUGGAGAUAUUGUAUGGGAGUGUUUUGUUGUAGCACUCAGCAUUAGUUUGGGAUGAUUAUGACUAUUUUGAUAGUUUGGGAUGUCUUUUGUUAGUUUGGAUUAUGAGUAUUAUGUCAUUGUAAUAGUCGCCUAGUUUUUCGGAUAAUCAAUUCUCAUAUUAUUUUUUU
Molecule: long non-coding RNA, 678 nt
Organism: Salvia miltiorrhiza (redroot sage)
Lineage: Eukaryota; Viridiplantae; Streptophyta; Magnoliopsida; Lamiales; Lamiaceae
Exons: 3
Source: RefSeq, a predicted model, not a curated record